Molecule: ribosomal RNA, 693 nt
Filed under: uncultured bacterium
Lineage: Bacteria
Description: bacterial SSU rRNA
Rfam family: Bacterial small subunit ribosomal RNA
Source: RNAcentral
UCAGAUUGAACGCUGGCGGCAGGCCUAACACAUGCAAGUCGAGCGGUAACAUUUCUAAGCUUGCUUAGAAGAUGACGAGCGGCGGACGGGUGAGUAAUGCUUGGGGAUCUGCCUGAUGGCGGGGGACAACCACUGGAAACGGUGGCUAAUACCGCAUAAUACCUAUGGGUCAAAGUGUGGGACCUUCGGGCCACACGCCAUCAGAUGAACCCAAGUGAGAUUAGCUGGUUGGCAAGGUAACGGCUUACCAAGGCGACGAUCUCUAGCUGGUCUGAGAGGAUGAUCAGCCACACUGGGACUGAGACACGGCCCAGACUCCUACGGGAGGCAGCAGUGGGGAAUAUUGGACAAUGGGGGCAACCCUGAUCCAGCCAUGCCGCGUGUGUGAAGAAGGCCUUCGGGUUGUAAAGCACUUUCAGUGGUGAGGAAGGUGGUGUCGUUAAUAGCGGCAUCAAUUGACGUUAGCCACAGAAGAAGCACCGGCUAACUCCGUGCCAGCAGCCGCGGUAAUACGGAGGGUGCGAGCGUUAAUCGGAGUUACUGGGCGUAAAGCGCACGUAGGCGGUAUGUUAAGCAAGAUGUGAAAGCCCAGAGCUCAACUCUGGAAUAGCAUUUUGAACUGGCAUGCUAGAGUUUUGGAGAGGGUGGUAGAAUUUCCAGUGUAGCGGUGAAAUGCGUAGAUAUUGGAAGGAA